This 483-nucleotide ribosomal RNA is filed under the name uncultured bacterium. RNAcentral describes it as "bacterial SSU rRNA". It matches the Rfam family "Bacterial small subunit ribosomal RNA", at positions 29 to 507 of the family's 1533-position model. The record is from RNAcentral.
AUGAACGCUAGCGGCAGGCUUAAUACAUGCAAGUCGAACGGGAUUCGGUGUAGCAAUACAUUGAUGAGAGUGGCGCACGGGUGCGUAACGCGUAUGCAACCUACCUUUAACAGGUGAAUAGCCCCGAGAAAUCGGGAUUAAUACACCGUAACAUUGCGGGAUGGCAUCAUUCUGCAAUUAAAGAUUUAUCAGUUAAAGAUGGGCAUGCGUGACAUUAGCUAGUUGGUGAGGUAACGGCUCACCAAGGCGACGAUGUCUAGGGGUCCUGAGAGGGUUAUCCCCCACACUGGUACUGAGACACGGACCAGACUCCUACGGGAGGCAGCAGUAAGGAAUAUUGGUCAAUGGGCGCAAGCCUGAACCAGCCAUGCCGCGUGCAGGAAGACGGCCCUAUGGGUUGUAAACUGCUUUUGUCAGGGAAUAAACCUGUCUACGAGUAGGCAGCUGAAGGUACCUGAAGAAUAAGCAUCGGCUAACUCCGUG